RNAcentral lists this ribosomal RNA (253 nucleotides) under uncultured bacterium. RNAcentral's name for it is "partial 16S ribosomal RNA". It matches the Rfam family "Bacterial small subunit ribosomal RNA", at positions 524 to 776 of the family's 1533-position model. The record is from RNAcentral.
UACGAAAGGUGCAAGCGUUGUUCGGAAUGACUGGGCGUAAAGAGCACGUAGGUGGGCUUGUAAGUCGGAUGUGAAAGCCCCAGGCUUAACCUGGGAAUGGCACCCGAAACUAUAAGUCUUGAAUGCUUGAGAGGUUGGUGGAAUUCCUGGUGUAGGAGUGAAAUCCGUAGAUAUCAGGAGGAAUAUCGGAGGCGAAGGCGGCCAACUGGUGGUGCAUUGACACUGAGGUGCGAAAGCGUGGGGAGCAAACAGG